Molecule: ribosomal RNA, 292 nt
Filed under: uncultured bacterium
Lineage: Bacteria
Description: partial 16S ribosomal RNA
Rfam family: Bacterial small subunit ribosomal RNA
Source: RNAcentral
GUGCCAGCAGCCGCGGUAAUACGGAGGGUGCAAGCGUUAUCCGGAUUCACUGGGUUUAAAGGGUGCGUAGGUGGGUUGGUAAGUCAGUGGUGAAAUCCCCGAGCUUAACUUGGGAACUGCCAUUGAUACUAUCAGUCUUGAAUACCGUGGAGGUCGGCGGAAUAUGUCAUGUAGCGGUGAAAUGCUUAGAUAUGACAUAGAACACCAAUUGCGAAGGCAGCUGACUACGCGAGUAUUGACACUGAGGCACGAAAGCGUGGGGAUCAAACAGGAUUAGAAACCCGCGUAGUCC